CGAGUUGACUGUAAAUAUGCGCGGUUGGCUUAAGUUUUAAUUAGCAUAUUGAGGAAAUAACUAUGGCUCUUAAUGCCGAAGAAAAAGCAAAAGUAGUAAGCGAAUAUCAACAGUCUGAA
This is a non-coding RNA of Oleiphilus sp. HI0069, 119 nucleotides long. NCBI's taxonomy places the organism in Bacteria, Pseudomonadati, Pseudomonadota, Gammaproteobacteria, Oceanospirillales, Oleiphilaceae. The record is from Rfam.